RNAcentral lists this ribosomal RNA (404 nucleotides) under uncultured bacterium. RNAcentral describes it as "bacterial SSU rRNA". It matches the Rfam family "Bacterial small subunit ribosomal RNA", at positions 356 to 772 of the family's 1533-position model. The record is from RNAcentral.
GGGGAAUAUUGCGCAAUGGGCGAAAGCCUGACGCAGCGACGCCGCGUGAGGGACGAAGGCCUUCGGGUUGUAAACCUCUUUCAGCAGGGACGAAGCGUGAGUGACGGUACCUGCAGAAGAAGCACCGGCCAACUACGUGCCAGCAGGCGCGGUAAUACGUAGGGUGCAAGCGUUGUCCGGAAUUAUUGGGCGUAAAGAGCACGUAGGCGGUUUGUCGCGUCGACUGUGAAAACCCGAGGCUUAACCUCGGGCCUGCAGUCGAUACGGGCAGACUAGAGUUCGGUAGGGGAGACUGGAAUUCCUGGUGUAGCGGUGAAAUGCGCAGAUAUCAGGAGGAACACCGGUGGCGAAGGCGGGUCUCUGGGCCGUAACUGACGCUGAGGAGCGAAAGCGUGGGGAGCGAA